AUUGAACGCUGGCGGCAUGCUUUACACAUGCAAGUCGAACGGUAACAGGCCGCAAGGUGCUGACGAGUGGCGAACGGGUGAGUAAUGCAUCGGAACGUGCCCAGUCGUGGGGGAUAACUACUCGAAAGAGUAGCUAAUACCGCAUACGAUCUAUGGAUGAAAGCGGGGGACCGUAAGGCCUCGCGCGAUUGGAGCGGCCGAUGUCAGAUUAGGUAGUUGGUGGGGUAAAGGCUCACCAAGCCAACGAUCUGUAGCUGGUCUGAGAGGACGACCAGCCACACUGGGACUGGGACACGGCCCAGACUCCUACGGGAGGCAGCAGUGGGGAAUUUUGGACAAUGGGCGCAAGCCUGAUCCAGCAAUGCCGCGUGCAGGAAGAAGGCCUUCGGGUUGUAAACUGCUUUUGUACGGAACGAAACGGCUCUGGUUAAUACCCGGGGCUAAUGACGGUACCGGAAGAAUAAGCACCGGCUAACUACGUG
RNAcentral lists this ribosomal RNA (482 nucleotides) under uncultured bacterium. RNAcentral describes it as "partial 16S ribosomal RNA". It matches the Rfam family "Bacterial small subunit ribosomal RNA", at positions 30 to 507 of the family's 1533-position model. The record is from RNAcentral.